ACAAAACAGACCGGUAAA
RNAcentral lists this small RNA (18 nucleotides) under Arabidopsis thaliana (thale cress). RNAcentral's name for it is "ATSL227040". Lineage: Eukaryota; Viridiplantae; Streptophyta; Magnoliopsida; Brassicales; Brassicaceae. The record is from RNAcentral.